Molecule: ribosomal RNA, 465 nt
Filed under: uncultured bacterium
Lineage: Bacteria
Description: bacterial SSU rRNA
Rfam family: Bacterial small subunit ribosomal RNA
Source: RNAcentral
CCUACGGGCUGCAGCAGUGGGGAAUAUUGCACAAUGGGCGCAAGCCUGAUGCAGCCAUGCCGCGUGUAUGAAGAAGGCCUUCGGGUUGUAAAGUACUUUCAGCGGGGAGGAAGGCGAUAAGGUUAAUAACCGCAGCAAUUGACGUUACCCGCAGAAGAAGCACCGGCUAACUCCGUGCCAGCAGCCGCGGUAAUACGGAGGGUGCGAGCGUUAAUCGGAAUUACUGGGCGUAAAGCGCACGCAGGCGGUCUGUCAAGUCGGAUGUGAAAUCCCCGGGCUCAACCUGGGAACUGCAUUCGAAACUGGCAGGCUAGAGUCUUGUAGAGGGGGGUAGAAUUCCAGGUGUAGCGGUGAAAUGCGUAGAGAUCUGGAGGAAUACCGGUGGCGAAGGCGGCCCCCUGGACAAAGACUGACGCUCAGGUGCGAAAGCGUGGGGAGCAAACAGGAUUAGAUACCCCCGUAGUC